Molecule: transfer RNA, 71 nt
Filed under: Loxodonta africana (African savanna elephant)
Lineage: Eukaryota; Metazoa; Chordata; Mammalia; Proboscidea; Elephantidae
Rfam family: tRNA
About the family: Transfer RNA (tRNA) molecules are approximately 80 nucleotides in length. Their secondary structure includes four short double-helical elements and three loops (D, anti-codon, and T loops).
Source: Rfam by way of RNAcentral
GCAAUGGUGGUUCAGUGGUAGCAUUCUCACCUUCCAUGUGGGAGACCAGGGUUCAAUUCCUGUCCAAUACA